GGCUUAGAGUUUGAUCAUGGCUCAGGAUGAACGCUGGCGGCGUGCUUAACACAUGCAAGUCGAACGGACAAAGAAGAUUUCGGUUUUCUUUGUUAGUGGCGGACGGGUGAGUAACGCGUGGGCAACCUACCUUAUACAGGGGGAUAACAGUUAGAAAUGACUGAUAAUACCGCAUAAGCGCCCGAGGUCGCAUGACCUUGAGUGAAAAACUCCGGUGGUAUAAGAUGGGCCCGCGUCUGAUUAGCUAGUUGGUAAGGUAACGGCUUACCAAGGCGACGAUCAGUAGCCGACCUGAGAGGGUGAUCGGCCACAUUGGGACUGAGACACGGCCCAAACUCCUACGGGAGGCAGCAGUGGGGAAUAUUGCACAAUGGGGGAAACCCUGAUGCAGCGACGCCGCGUGACUGAAGAAGUAUUUCGGUAUGUAAAGGUCUAUCAGCAAGGAAGAAGAGAGACGGUACUUGACUAAGAAGCCCCGGCUAACUACGUGCCAGCAGCCGCGGUAAUACGUAUGGUGCAAGCGUUAUCCGGAUUUACUGGGUGUAAAGGGAGCGUAGACGGAUGGGCAAGUCUGGAGUGAAAACCCGGGGCUCAACCCCGGGACUGCUUUGGAAACUGUUUAUCUAGAGUGCUGGAGAGGUAAGUG
RNAcentral lists this ribosomal RNA (646 nucleotides) under uncultured organism. Its description in RNAcentral is "bacterial SSU rRNA". It matches the Rfam family "Bacterial small subunit ribosomal RNA", at positions 1 to 663 of the family's 1533-position model. The record is from RNAcentral.